AGUCGAACGGCAGCAUGAUCUAGCUUGCUAGAUUGAUGGCGUGUGGCGAACGGGUGAGUAAUACAUCGGAACGUGCCCUGUAGUGGGGGAUAACUAGUCGAAAGAUUAGCUAAUACCGCAUACGACCUGAGGGUGAAAGUGGGGGACCGCAAGGCCUCAUGCUAUAGGAGCGGCCGAUGUCUGAUUAGCUAGUUGGUGAGGUAAAGGCUCACCAAGGCGACGAUCAGUAGCUGGUCUGAGAGGACGAUCAGCCACACUGGGACUGAGACACGGCCCAGACUCCUACGGGAGGCAGCAGUGGGGAAUUUUGGACAAUGGGGGCAACCCUGAUCCAGCAAUGCCGCGUGUGUGAAGAAGGCCUUCGGGUUGUAAAGCACUUUUGUCCGGAAAGAAAUCGCACUUACUAAUAUUAGGUGUGGAUGACGGUACCGGAAGAAUAAGGACCGGCUAACUACGUGCCAGCAGCCGCGGUAAUACGUAGGGUCCAAGCGUUAAUCGGAAUUACUGGGCGUAAAGCGUGCGCAGGCGGUUGUGCAAGACCGAUGUGAAAUCCCCGGGCUUAACCUGGGAAUUGCAUUGGUGACUGCACGGCUAGAGUGUGUCAGAGGGGGGUAGAAUUCCACGUGUAGCAGUGAAAUGCGUAGAGAUGUGGAGGAAUACCGAUGGCGAAGCAGCCCCCUGGGAUAACACUGACGCUCAUGCACGAAAGCGUGGGGAGCAAACAGGAUUAGAUACCNUGGUAGUCCACGCCCUAAACGAUGUCAACUAGUUGUUGGGGAUUCAUUUCCUUAGUAACGUAGCUAACGCGUGAAGUUGACCGCCUGGGGAGUACGGUCGCAAGAUUAAAACUCAAAGGAAUUGACGGGGACCCGCACAAGCGGUGGAUGAUGUGGAUUAAUUCGAUGCAACGCGAAAAACCUUACCUACCCUUGACAUGCCACUAACGAAGCAGAGAUGCAUUAGGUGCUCGAAAGAGAAAGUGGACACAGGUGCUGCAUGGCUGUCGUCAGCUCGUGUCGUGAGAUGUUGGGUUAAGUCCCGCAACGAGCGCAACCCUUGUCUCUAGUUGCUACGAAAGGGCACUCUAGAGAGACUGCCGGUGACAAACCGGAGGAAGGUGGGGAUGACGUCAAGUCCUCAUGGCCCUUAUGGGUAGGGCUUCACACGUCAUACAAUGGUGCAUACAGAGGGUUGCCAAGCCGCGAGGUGGAGCUAAUCCCAGAAAAUGCAUCGUAGUCCGGAUCGUAGUCUGCAACUCGACUACGUGAAGCUGGAAUCGCUAGUAAUCGCGGAUCAGCAUGCCGCGGUGAAUACGUUCCCGGGUCUUGUACACACCGCCCGUCACACCAUGGGAGUGGGUUUUGCCAGAAGUAGUUAGCCUAACCGCAAGGGGGGCGAUUACCACGGCAGGGUUCAUGACUGGGGUGAAGUCGUAACAAGGUA
This 1443-nucleotide ribosomal RNA is filed under the name uncultured Ralstonia sp. Its description in RNAcentral is "16S ribosomal RNA". It matches the Rfam family "Bacterial small subunit ribosomal RNA". Lineage: Bacteria; Pseudomonadati; Pseudomonadota; Betaproteobacteria; Burkholderiales; Burkholderiaceae. The record is from RNAcentral.